RNAcentral lists this non-coding RNA (148 nucleotides) under Gorilla gorilla gorilla (western lowland gorilla). The record is from Rfam by way of RNAcentral. Lineage: Eukaryota; Metazoa; Chordata; Mammalia; Primates; Hominidae.
GCUGGGCAUGGUGGUGCAUGCCUGUAGUCCCAGGUACUCGGGAGGCUGAGGCAGGAGAAUUGCUUGAGCCUGGGAGGCAGAGGUUGCAGUGAGCUGAGAUUGAGCCACUGCACCCCAGCCUGGGUAACAGAGUGAGACCCCGUUUCAA